UUGCUCACUUCAGCAGCACAUACAAUAAAAUUUGAAUACAGAGAAGAUUAGCAUGGCCCCUGUGCAAGGAUGGCAUGCAAAUUGUGAAAUAAAGAGGGCGAGAGAGAGACUUGUUU
This 116-nucleotide small nuclear RNA is filed under the name Castor canadensis (American beaver). Lineage: Eukaryota; Metazoa; Chordata; Mammalia; Rodentia; Castoridae. The record is from RNAcentral.